Long non-coding RNA from Orbicella faveolata, 163 nucleotides. NCBI's taxonomy places the organism in Eukaryota, Metazoa, Cnidaria, Anthozoa, Scleractinia, Merulinidae. The record is from RefSeq and is a predicted model, not a curated record.
ACCUGGAAACAAACGACACAGGGACUAUCAUGGUGGUGAAGAUGGUGGCCCAAAUAAACAGCCAAGACACCGCAAAGGACCACCUCCCAUUAAGGGUCCCUGUUGGUUCUGUCUGGGAAGUCCUGAGGUCGAGAAACAUUUGGUGGUCAGUGUAGGAGAUGAU